GACGAACGCUGGCGGCGUGCUUAACACAUGCAAGUCGUACGGUAAGGCCCUUUCGGGGGUACCCGAGUGGCGAACGGGUGAGUAACACGUGCGUAACCUGCCCACAACUUUGGGAUAACGCUAGGAAACUGGUGCUAAUACUGGAUAUGUGCUCCUGCUGCAUGGUGGGGGUUGGAAAGCUCCGGCGGUUGUGGAUGGACUCGCGGCCUAUCAGCUUGUUGGUGGGGUAGUGGCCUACCAAGGCGGCUGCGGGUCGCCGGCCUGUGAGGGUGACCGGCGACAUUGGGACUGAGAUACGGCCCAGACUCCUACGGGAGGCAGCAGGGGGGAAUAGUGAACAAUGGGCGCAAGCCUGAUGCAGCAACGCGGCGUGCGGGAUGACGGCCUUCGGGUUGUAAACCGUAUUCAGCAGGGACGAAGCUUGUUGUGACGGUACCUGCAGAAGAAGCACCGGCUAACUACGGG
Molecule: ribosomal RNA, 465 nt
Filed under: uncultured bacterium
Lineage: Bacteria
Description: partial 16S ribosomal RNA
Rfam family: Bacterial small subunit ribosomal RNA
Source: RNAcentral